RNAcentral lists this ribosomal RNA (253 nucleotides) under uncultured bacterium. RNAcentral's name for it is "partial 16S ribosomal RNA". It matches the Rfam family "Bacterial small subunit ribosomal RNA", at positions 524 to 776 of the family's 1533-position model. The record is from RNAcentral.
UACGUAGGGGGCGAGCGUUAUCCGGAUUCACUGGGUGUAAAGGGAGCGUAGACGGCCAUGCAAGCCAGGGGUGAAAGCCCGGGGCCCAACCCCGGGACUGCCCUUGGAACUGCAUGGCUGGAGUGCGGGAGGGGCAGGCGGAAUUCCUGGUGUAGCGGUGAAAUGCGUAGAUAUACGGAGGAACACCAGUGGCGAAGGCGGCCUGCUGGACAUUAACUGACGCUGAGGCGCGAAAGCGUGGGGAGCAAACAGG